Molecule: ribosomal RNA, 424 nt
Filed under: Verrucomicrobiota bacterium
Lineage: Bacteria; Pseudomonadati; Verrucomicrobiota
Description: Verrucomicrobia bacterium partial 16S ribosomal RNA
Rfam family: Bacterial small subunit ribosomal RNA
Source: RNAcentral
UGAGGAAUAUUGGUCAAUGGGCGAGAGCCUGAACCAGCCAAGUAGCGUGCAGGAUGACGGCCCUAUGGGUUGUAAACUGCUUUUAUAUGGGGAUAAAGUGAGGGACGUGUCCCUUAUUGCAUGUACCAUACGAAUAAGGACCGGCUAAUUCCGUGCCAGCAGCCGCGGUAAUACGGAAGGUCCAGGCGUUACCUGGAUUUAUUGGGUUUAAAGGGAGCGUAGGCUGUUUGUUAAGCGUGUUGUGAAAUGUAAGAGCUCAACUUUUAGAUUGCAGCGCGAACUGGCAGACUGGAGUGCGCACAGCGUAGGUGGAAUUCAUGGUGUAGCGGUGAAAUGCUUAGAUAUCAUGACGAACUCCGAUUGCGAAGGCAGCUUACGGGGGCGGAACUGACGCUAAAGCUCGAAGGUGAGGGUAGCGAACGGG